AACGAACGCUGGCGGCAUGCCUAACACAUGCAAGUCGAACGAGACCUUCGGGUCUAGUGGCGUACGGGUGCGUAACGCGUGGGAACCUGCCCUUAGGUUCGGAAUAACUCCCCGAAAGGGGUGCUAAUACCGGAUAAUGUCUUCGGACCAAAGAUUUAUCGCCUUUGGAUGGGCCCGCGUUGGAUUAGCUAGUUGGUAGGGUAAAAGCCUACCAAGGCGACGAUCCAUAGCUGGUCUGAGAGGAUGAUCAGCCACACUGGGACUGAGACACGGCCCAGACUCCUACGGGAGGCAGCAGUGGGGAAUAUUGGACAAUGGGCGAAAGCCUGAUCCAGCAAUGCCGCGUGAGUGAUGAAGGCCUUAGGGUUGUAAAGCUCUUUUACCCGGGAUGAUAAUGACAGUACCGGGAGAAAAAGCUCCGGCUAACUCCGUG
Molecule: ribosomal RNA, 433 nt
Filed under: uncultured bacterium
Lineage: Bacteria
Description: partial 16S ribosomal RNA
Rfam family: Bacterial small subunit ribosomal RNA
Source: RNAcentral